Molecule: transfer RNA, 65 nt
Filed under: Microtrichalus sp. A00353
Lineage: Eukaryota; Metazoa; Arthropoda; Insecta; Coleoptera; Lycidae
Description: tRNA-Leu
Source: RNAcentral
GUUAUUUUGGCAGAUUAGUGUAUUUGAUUUAGAAUCAUUUUAAGUAAAUUUAUUACAAGUAAUAU